This 254-nucleotide ribosomal RNA is filed under the name Escherichia coli. RNAcentral's name for it is "partial 23S ribosomal RNA". It matches the Rfam family "Bacterial large subunit ribosomal RNA", at positions 43 to 293 of the family's 2925-position model. The record is from RNAcentral. Lineage: Bacteria; Pseudomonadati; Pseudomonadota; Gammaproteobacteria; Enterobacterales; Enterobacteriaceae.
AGAGGCGAUGAAGGACGUGCUAAUCUGCGAUAAGCGUCGGUAAGGUGAUAUGAACCGUUAUAACCGGCGAUUUCCGAAUGGGGAAACCCAGUGUGAUUCGUCACACUAUCAUUAACUGAAUCCAUAAGUUAAUGAGGCGAACCGGGGGAACUGAAACAUCUAAGUACCCCGAGGAAAAGAAAUCAACCGAGAUUCCCCCAGUAGCGGCGAGCGAACGGGGAGCAGCCCAGAGCCUGAAUCAGUGUGUGUGUUAG